UACGUAGGGUGCAAGCGUUGUCCGGAAUUAUUGGGCGUAAAGAGCUCGUAGGCGGUUUGUUGCGUCGGCUGUGAAAACCUGAGGCUCAACCUCAGGCCUGCAGUCGAUACGAGCAGACUAGAGUGUUGCAGGGGAGACUGGAAUUCCUGGUGUAGCGGUGAAAUGCGCAGAUAUCAGGAGGAACACCGGUGGCGAAGGCGGGGUCUCUGGGCAACAACUGACGCUGGAGGAGCGAAAGCCGUGGGGAGCGAACAGG
Molecule: ribosomal RNA, 256 nt
Filed under: uncultured bacterium
Lineage: Bacteria
Description: partial 16S ribosomal RNA
Rfam family: Bacterial small subunit ribosomal RNA
Source: RNAcentral